This 99-nucleotide signal recognition particle RNA is filed under the name Treponema sp. RNAcentral describes it as "signal recognition particle sRNA small type". It matches the Rfam family "Bacterial small signal recognition particle RNA". Rfam says of the family: The signal recognition particle (SRP) is a universally conserved ribonucleoprotein involved in the co-translational targeting of proteins to membranes. Archaeal SRP consists of a 7S RNA and homologues of the eukaryotic SRP19 and SRP54 proteins. Lineage: Bacteria; Pseudomonadati; Spirochaetota; Spirochaetia; Treponematales; Treponemataceae. The record is from RNAcentral.
GCCUAGGCGCUAUGCGGCGCUGCGCCGCAAAACCCCGCCAGAGCCGGAAGGCAGCAACGGUAUGCGGAUGCAACGCGCGCCGUAGUAUGCCUAGGCUCA